Rhinichthys klamathensis goyatoka is the source of this 941-nucleotide long non-coding RNA. RefSeq lists it as uncharacterized. Lineage: Eukaryota; Metazoa; Chordata; Actinopteri; Cypriniformes; Leuciscidae. The record is from RefSeq and is a predicted model, not a curated record. The transcript has 3 exons.
UUACCAAUUCUAUGAAUUGCAAAGCAGCCUCGGAGACGCUGAGGGGUAGAGAGGGGGAGAUGCGAAGAUUGAAAGGGAUCUUUGCAAACACAAUCACGUUCUUAAAUGGAAAUGUGGGGCUUUAAACAAAUCUUACAUCUCUCCUGUUCCAGUCGUCUAAAACUCCGCAAUCAGGCACACGUUCGACUCCAUCUAAAACCACAGCUUUUUUAGAAGAUUUUUUUGGUAUCACUUCUAUUUAAAUUAUUUACCUCAGUGUAUUUUUUUUUAGUUCACGUUCGUGUUUGUGUGUUUGUCUUGCUCUUAUGGGGUGUUUCCACAGGCUUUUGCGAGGAAAUGUGCUGGAGAAUUCAGGCGUCAAACCAAAACGCUUCUCAGUGGCUCAAAGGGGCCUGAAAGGACCGAGCGACUUGCUUUAGAGACAUCUGAGGAAUCCAUUGAAAAAGCCAAUAACGGGAUCAAGGGGCAUUUGGGUAUGAAUUCUACCAUAUGAUCAUAUCUAGUUAGGGAGGCUGCUUUAGCAACAGAUGCUUUGAGAUCACCACGAUAUGUUCGCACUGAACUUGUAGCCACGGGGUUAUAUGUACCUUAUGUGUGUGUUUUUUUCGAGGGCAGCUCUGUACUGGGACCGGCUAGGAGACGGUGAUGGCAAAGAGCGGAGUGACCAGACCAGCUCCAGCCCAAAAGGGGUCACGACCAGACGCCAAGUGCUCCUGUCUCGAUGUCGUCUGUGGUCAAGCACUCGCCGGGGGUGGCAUGUGCAGGAUGUAGACUGGAGCAGGUGUGGUGCCUGUAGGUCCUUUUUGCACCACAUGUACUCAGGUAAGGCCAUGGGGCAUGAUGUUGCCAAAAGUGUCACAUUCCAACAUUUUACACUCUCUCUCUCUCUCAAUCACACAAACAAACACAUUGAACCAUCUGCUUGUUCAGUAUUUUCUUUA